GCACCACUAGCUCAGUUGGUAGAGCAACUGACUCUUAAUCAGUGGGUCCUGGGUUCGAAUCCCUGGUGGUGCACCA
RNAcentral lists this transfer RNA (76 nucleotides) under Oscillospiraceae bacterium. RNAcentral's name for it is "tRNA-Lys". It matches the Rfam family "tRNA". Rfam says of the family: Transfer RNA (tRNA) molecules are approximately 80 nucleotides in length. Their secondary structure includes four short double-helical elements and three loops (D, anti-codon, and T loops). The record is from RNAcentral. Lineage: Bacteria; Bacillati; Bacillota; Clostridia; Eubacteriales; Oscillospiraceae.